Molecule: non-coding RNA, 879 nt
Organism: Misgurnus anguillicaudatus (oriental weatherfish)
Lineage: Eukaryota; Metazoa; Chordata; Actinopteri; Cypriniformes; Cobitidae
Source: RefSeq, a predicted model, not a curated record
UAACUGUAAAAAUGUCAAAAACAGUUCUGAAGUUAACACCUGUUAGCAAACUGUGUUAAUCCUCUCACCUUUUGUUAAUUUAUUAAUACUCACUGUUUGGUCCUCACAUUGUUUCUUCACAUUGCCUCAGAGUCUGAUCUAUACAGCUACCACCCGCCAUACAUGCUGACCUGCGUGUCACUCUCAAACGCCUUGUACACGCAGCAGCCAUCAUUCCCAACACCACCACGCUGACUGAUGACACAGCUUCACAGAUGCCUGUCAUCUCCAUACAGGGCUGGCAAAACGGUGAACAAGAGUGACCCGGCAACAGCUUGCUUGUCACUCUUUAAAAAAAAACAAGAAGGGGACCCUGACAGGUGCCGGGGGCCCAGAGGAUCGAUAUAUCUAUGCUCGGCUAACAAGCGGUUAUAUUUAGCCUCCAGACAAGUGUCAAAGCGUGGCUAUGUGGGUUCCCACCUGCAUGAAACUUCCAUUUCUGUCAUUUCGUCAUGAACGGCAAAACCUAGCGGGAAUGGGGAUAGACCUGUCUGUGUGUGGAACGCUUGAUGCUGAGAGAAUACGGUGCCUCUGGACAACUGCCUGCUUCAUUUCCCUUUGGACCACUAAAGCAGGAUGUAUCUGAUAUCAUCUACAAGUUCAUUCAACUACAUCUCAUCUCAAUGAACAGACACAUUUUCAUUAAAAGCUUUGUCAAUUGCAGUCUAGUAACUGUUCAUUUGAUAAAAUGUCUAAGGCCAUAAAUUAAAAGUGAAAGUCAAAUAAUGUAGAUGAGCAUGCAAGAAGAGAACAGAAUUAGAAGUUCUUUGUGUCUGUCUGAUAGGAAGUGUCAGAGGUGCUGAAGAAUGUGGGUUUGGUUUUAAGAGGAAAUAAAAUGAU